This 253-nucleotide ribosomal RNA is filed under the name uncultured bacterium. Its description in RNAcentral is "partial 16S ribosomal RNA". It matches the Rfam family "Bacterial small subunit ribosomal RNA", at positions 524 to 776 of the family's 1533-position model. The record is from RNAcentral.
UACGUAGGGGGCGAGCGUUGUUCGGAUUUAUUGGGCGUAAAGAGCGUGCAGGCGGCCGCGCAGGUCCGGUGUGAAAACUGAAGGCUCAACCUUCAGAGGUCGAUGGAAACCGUGCGGCUAGAGUCCGGAAGAGGAGAGUGGAAUUCCUGGUGUAGCGGUGAAAUGCGCAGAUAUCAGGAAGAACACCCGUGGCGAAAGCAGCUCUCUGGGACAGUACUGACGCUCACACGCGAAAGCGUGGGGAGCGAACAGG